GAUUUCAGCUGAAGACUUGAGAGAGCAGCUUCAUGAGAAAGGCGGCCUAGUCAAGAAUCAUAACUUGAACAUCUUUUCAUAUGCCUCUUGGCCGUCUGUAUAUUUUCUUUGGAAAAAUGAAUCAGUGAUCUUCAAGGAUGCGGCUGUGGACUUUACCAGGAAGAGUGGGCCUUGCUGGACACAUCCCAGAGAAAGCUGUACAGAGAUGUGAUGCUGGAGAAUAUCAGGCAUCUUGUCUCUGUGGAAGUGACCUUAAAAACCAGGAAAUGACAUGUAUACCAGAUAUCUGCAGGAAGGACCUUCUAACCACACAGUCAAUGCGUACCCUGUGACCUAUCCAAGAAAUCUCCCUGCUCCAAGCCAUAAAAAUAUUCUCCUGUGUUACCUACUAAAGAUGUCAUCAAUUGAAAUGGCCACAUUUGGAUGUAAAAUCCACCUGGAAUUGACUUUUCUUUAUGGCAUGAGGUGUCACAGUCAAGGUGAAGUUGUUCCCCGUAUGGUAUGGACAGCCAGUGCCCCGGGGCCAUUUCCUGGAAGACCCUCUUCUCCCCACUGCUCCGCCUCCUCUUCUGUCACCAACAGAUGUUCGUGUGUGUGGGUCUCAGGAGCACUCUCGUCUUCCUGCUUCUCCCUGUGGCUGUCCUUGCACUAGGACAGCACGCUGCCCUGAGGACUGUAGCUUUAUACCAAGGCUUCAUUUCUGGGAGUGGGAGCCCUGCAAGCUUGUUCUCCUUCAAGGUUGUCUUGACUAUAUGUUGCCUCUUGUAUUUCUAUGGAAACUU
This 782-nucleotide long non-coding RNA is filed under the name Equus asinus (donkey). RNAcentral describes it as "lncRNA (ENSEASG00005037557.1)". The record is from RNAcentral. Lineage: Eukaryota; Metazoa; Chordata; Mammalia; Perissodactyla; Equidae.